RNAcentral lists this ribosomal RNA (107 nucleotides) under Enterobacter hormaechei. The record is from RNAcentral. Lineage: Bacteria; Pseudomonadati; Pseudomonadota; Gammaproteobacteria; Enterobacterales; Enterobacteriaceae. RNAcentral also lists the same sequence under 1 other name.
UGUAGCGCGGUGGUCCCACCUGACCCCAUGCCGAACUCAGAAGUGAAACGCCGUAGCGCCGAUGGUAGUGUGGGGUCUCCCCAUGUGAGAGUAGGGAACUGCCAGGC